This 866-nucleotide long non-coding RNA is filed under the name Carica papaya (papaya). RNAcentral describes it as "long non-coding RNA (CPAP_LNC011710)". Lineage: Eukaryota; Viridiplantae; Streptophyta; Magnoliopsida; Brassicales; Caricaceae. The record is from RNAcentral.
AGGGUGGGAAAAUGAAGUAGCUUGUUCAUUGAUGUGUAGCCGAGUCUUUUGUGCCAAAGUUGUAGGGUGUGGCUAGUGCAUGACUUUUCUGGUUCUAUGUCUUUGCUCAGGGUGUACAGGUCUCCCUUUAUUCUACCCUUCUUUAAUUUUCUGUUAGUCAUCAAAUCCUGCACACACAAAAAUGGUUUGGAUAGAAAGAAACGUAGAUAUCUGAGACUUGAGUCAAUUUUCUGACAGAGAUCAAGUUACACGCAAAUUUUAGUAUGUAAAGAGCAUCAUGUAGGGUCAGGUCAUUGUAUAGUUUUAUGGUACCUUUAUAUGUUGAAUACCCUCAGGGUUCCAUAGGAUAAAGAGACAGAUACUAUGGGUUCUAAUUUAGUGAUUUUAGUGAGCAAGCUAAAAUCAUGACAUAUGUUUGAUGUUGCACCUAUAUCGAUUAUCCAUGUACUUAUAUCAGUCGAGGUGUGUAAAAAGUAGCAGUUAGACUGUUUACCUGCAGCGCCAGAGUAGCCCACGCAUUCUGCCGAUUCCAUUGUGCUUCCUCCAUAACUUUUCAUGUAUUUGCUGAUUUCCUACUGCAUAAUGUUAGUCAUUUUUGCAUUCCAACUUGUUGUGAUCGUCGUUUCCCCUUUAAUGUCAGUGGGAUUUCCAUUUGAAACAGCAUUUACUUUUUCUUUUCCUUUUUUCCCUUUGAGUUCUGUGAACCAUUCGGGAUAGUCGUGGAGUUUGAAGCAUGUGUCUCUAGUGUGUCCUGUAUUCCUGCAAUGAGUGCAUAUUUUGUUGUCUUUAUCCCUUCUUCGGUUCUGUGGCUUCAGAGUUUCUUUCUGGUUGGCAUAAAAAACGGUUGGCAUCCCCUCGGAUGCAUU